RNAcentral lists this transfer RNA (65 nucleotides) under Hippotiscus dorsalis. RNAcentral's name for it is "tRNA-Phe". The record is from RNAcentral. Lineage: Eukaryota; Metazoa; Arthropoda; Insecta; Hemiptera; Pentatomidae.
GUUUGGAUAUCUUAAGUUAAAAGUUUAACUCUGAAGAAGUUAAUAUAGGGUCAACCUUCCAAAUA